This 331-nucleotide long non-coding RNA is filed under the name Setaria viridis. Its description in RNAcentral is "long non-coding RNA (SVIR_LNC007134)". The record is from RNAcentral. Lineage: Eukaryota; Viridiplantae; Streptophyta; Magnoliopsida; Poales; Poaceae.
AUGGAACACAUACUUUUUAGCUGGUCGAGAGGUGGAAGGGGAAAAUUAAUGAUCCUGAGGCACAAAUGAAGUCCUCGUUAUCAGAUUGCACAUGGUUGGAAAAUAAGUAAGGAUUAACAUUUAGGACACUAGAAAUUUUAUGAAGCUCAAAGAAUUGAGGGGCAUUUUUAUUCUCAUUUUUCUUCAUCUUUAUUUCUCUAUUUUGGCACUUUUUCUUCUUUUUCAUAGCUCAUUUUUUGUUUUUUUCUUUUGUCUCUUUUGUCUCCUCAGAAUUUUUUUCAACAUAAUACUUACUCAGUAGUAGUCAGAGAUAAUGCUUGAAUGAUGCUUG